This 1059-nucleotide long non-coding RNA is filed under the name Castor canadensis (American beaver). RNAcentral describes it as "lncRNA (ENSCCNG00000013105.1)". The record is from RNAcentral. Lineage: Eukaryota; Metazoa; Chordata; Mammalia; Rodentia; Castoridae.
AGCAGGGCAUUGCAGGAGAUUCUGCUGAGGGCUCAGAAGAGCAGAAUGCUGAUGUAAAUGUGGAUGCAAACACAGAUACAAAUGUAGACAGUAAAGUCUAUGAUGUUGAUGAGAUUUCAGACAGCAAUGAGAAUUUUCUCGGGAAUUGGAAUAAAGGCCAUCCUUGUCACGCUGUGGCCAAGAGUUUGGCUUCCUUGUGCCCUUGUCCUGAGAGUUUGUGGAAGGCUGAACUUCAAAGUGAUGGACUAAUUUAUUUGUCAGAGGAGAUUUCAAAGCAGGAAAGCAUUCAGGAUGCUGCAUGGUUACUUUUAACUGCUUACAGUCAAAUGAGAGAGCAAAGGAAUGAUUUGAAGAUAGAACUUACAAUUCAGAGGGAAUCACAGAGGAAAGGUUUGGAAAAUUUGUGGCCUGGCAAGGGAAGGAGCAAAAAGUCAUUUAAGGGCGUGACUGAGGAGGGUUUGGUCCAGCAGCUGUUGGUAAAAGAGAUUAGAGCAGAUAAAAGGAAGCUAAAGCAAAGUACACUGCAUCAGGACAGUAAGAAAAUUGCCUUGAGGGCACCUCAGAAAACUUCCAGGGCAGAAAUGAUUCAGAAAAGAGUCCUGGGGCCAGCUGGGGACACUGGUUUGCCAACAAAGCAUUCCUCAGCUGCUGCCAUGGUUCUAAAGGGCCCGGAUGCAGCCAGUGCAAGUGGCAGACCUUGGCAUUGUUCAACUGGUGCUGGUCUUGCCGACAUGCAGAAUGCAAGAGUUCCAAGGUCAUGGCGGAAAGCCUUUCAGGUCUUGGGGUCAGAGUCCCUGGAGAAAGUGCCUGUUGUGGUGAUGUCUACUGGAGCUGUGGGAGUGAAGCCACAAUGGGGACCCCAGAAAAGUAGAGGUGCCAGUGCCACAAAACACCCUCCAUGGAAAGCAGCAAGCAGAGUGUCACAUAAGCCUCGGAAGGAGGCAAACAUCAGCUUGCAGUCUGUGAGCAUGGCCACGUGUGUGAAAAGCAACCGAGCCAUAAAGGAGAUCUCUAGGUGGAGAUCUCCACCUAGAUUACAAAGGAUGAAUCCAACAACUG